RNAcentral lists this non-coding RNA (25 nucleotides) under Mus musculus (house mouse). The record is from RNAcentral. Lineage: Eukaryota; Metazoa; Chordata; Mammalia; Rodentia; Muridae.
UGUCUUCAAGAUUGUCUAUCUCUAG